This 253-nucleotide ribosomal RNA is filed under the name uncultured bacterium. Its description in RNAcentral is "partial 16S ribosomal RNA". It matches the Rfam family "Bacterial small subunit ribosomal RNA", at positions 524 to 776 of the family's 1533-position model. The record is from RNAcentral.
UACGAAGGGGGCUAGCGUUGUUCGGAGUUACUGGGCGUAAAGGGCGCGUAGGCGGGCAGGUAAGUCAGUGGUGAAAUCUCCGAGCUUAACUCGGAAACUGCCGUUGAUACUAUUUGUCUUGAAUAUUGUGGAGGUAAGCGGAAUAUGUCAUGUAGCGGUGAAAUGCUUAGAUAUGACAUAGAACACCAAUUGCGAAGGCAGCUUACUACACAACGAUUGACGCUGAGGCACGAAAGCGUGGGGAUCAAACAGG